This 498-nucleotide ribosomal RNA is filed under the name uncultured bacterium. RNAcentral describes it as "partial 16S ribosomal RNA". It matches the Rfam family "Bacterial small subunit ribosomal RNA", at positions 28 to 507 of the family's 1533-position model. The record is from RNAcentral.
GACGAACGCUGGCGGCGUGCCUAAUACAUGCAAGUCGAGCGGACGAAUCGAAAGCUUGCUUUUGAUUCGUUAGCGGCGGACGGGUGAGUAACACGUGGGCAACCUGCCCUGUAGACGGGGAUAACACCGAGAAAUCGGUGCUAAUACCGGGUAACACGAAAUGUCGCAUGACGUUUCGUUGAAAGACGGCGCAAGCUGUCGCUACAGGAUGGGCCCGCGGCGCAUUAGCUAGUUGGUGAGGUAACGGCUCACCAAGGCGACGAUGCGUAGCCGACCUGAGAGGGUGAUCGGCCACACUGGGACUGAGACACGGCCCAGACUCCUACGGGAGGCAGCAGUAGGGAAUCUUCCGCAAUGGACGAAAGUCUGACGGAGCAACGCCGCGUGAGCGAAGAAGGCCUUCGGGUCGUAAAGCUCUGUUGUUAGGGAAGAACAAGUAACGCAGUAACUGGCGUUACCGUGACGGUACCUAACGAGAAAGCCACGGCUAACUACGUG